This 307-nucleotide ribosomal RNA is filed under the name Dermanyssus hirsutus. RNAcentral describes it as "partial 16S ribosomal RNA". The record is from RNAcentral. Lineage: Eukaryota; Metazoa; Arthropoda; Arachnida; Mesostigmata; Dermanyssidae.
UUUUUUUUUUAAAAUUAAAAUUUAAUUUAAAAAUGAAAAAGUUUUUAUAAAAAAAUGGGACAAGAAGACCCUAUGAAUCUUUAUUAUUCUAUAAUAAAUUUUAUUAUAAAAUAAUUUAAUUGGGGCGAUUAAAAAAGAAUAAAUAUCUUUAUUUUGAAUUUAUUUUUUAAAUUGAUGAAAAGAUACUCUAGGGAUAACAGCGUUAUUAUUUUGGAUAGUUCAUAUUGAUAAAAUAGUUUGCGACCUCGAUGUUGAAUUAAUGAACCUAUUUAAAUGAAGUUAUUAAAUUAGGUAGAUUGUUCCUCUA